Molecule: ribosomal RNA, 654 nt
Filed under: uncultured Bacteroides sp.
Lineage: Bacteria; Pseudomonadati; Bacteroidota; Bacteroidia; Bacteroidales; Bacteroidaceae
Description: bacterial SSU rRNA
Rfam family: Bacterial small subunit ribosomal RNA
Source: RNAcentral
CAGCGGGGUUGAAGCUUGCUUCACCGCCGGCGACCGGCGCACGGGUGAGUAACACGUAUCCCCCUGGAGGAUAACUCCGGGAUAGCCUUUCGAAAGAAAGAUUCAUUCCGGAUGGCAUAGUUCUCCCGCAUGAGAGAACUAUUAAAGAACUUCGGUUAUCGAUGGGGAUGCGUUCCAUUAGGCAGUUGGCGGGGUAACGGCCCACCAAACCGACGAUGGAUAGGGGUUCUGAGAGGAAGGUCCCCCACAUUGGAACUGAGACACGGUCCAAACUCCUACGGGAGGCAGCAGUGAGGAAUAUUGGUCAAUGGACGGGAGUCUGAACCAGCCAAGUAGCGUGAAGGAUGACUGCCCUAUGGGUUGUAAACUUCUUUUAUACGGGAAUAAAGUUGGCCACGUGUGGUUAUUUGCAUGUACCGUAUGAAUAAGGAUCGGCUAACUCCGUGCCAGCAGCCGCGGUAAUACGGAGGAUCCGAGCGUUAUCCGGAUUUAUUGGGUUUAAAGGGAGCGUAGGCGGGAUAUUAAGUCAGUUGUGAAAGUUUGCGGCUCAACCGUAAAAUUGCAGUUGAUACUGGUAUCCUUGAGUGCAGCAUAGGCGGGCGGAAUUCGUGGUGUAGCGGUGAAAUGCUUAGAUAUCACGAAGAACUCCGAUUG